AUGGCCCGCUACGACCGAGCGAUCACCGUCUUCUCCCCCGACGGCCACCUCUUCCAGGUUGAGUACGCCCUCGAGGCCGUCCGCAAGGGCAACGCCGCCGUCGGCGUCCGAGGCGUCGACACCGUCGUCCUCGGUGUCGAGAAGAAGUCCACCCCCAAGCUCCAGGACUCCAGGUCCGUGCGCAAGAUCGCGAGCCUGGACACCCACAUCGCGCUGGCCUGCGCGGGUCUGAAGGCGGACGCGCGCGUGCUCAUCAACCGGGCGCGCGUCGAGUGCCAGAGCCACCGCCUCACCGUCGAGGACCCCGUCACUGUCGAGUACAUCACGCGCUACAUCGCCGGCCUGCAGCAGAAGUACACGCAGAGCGGAGGGGUGCGCCCGUUCGGGCUCUCCACGCUCAUAGUUGGCUUCGACCCCUAUACCGAGAAGCCCGCGCUGUACCAGACCGACCCCUCCGGCACCUUCUCCGCCUGGAAGGCCAACGCCACCGGCCGCAACUCCAACUCCAUGCGCGAAUUCCUUGAGAAGAAUUACAAGGAGACGUCCGGCAAGGAGACCAUCAAGCUUACCAUCCGAGCCCUCCUUGAGGUUGUCGAGAGUGGUGGCAAGAACAUUGAGAUUGCUGUGAUGACGCACAAAGAUGGUCUUCGCCAGCUUGAGGAAGAGGAGAUCGAUGAGUAUGUUGCUGAGAUUGAAGCAGAGAAGGCCGCUGCUGAGGCUGCAAAGAAGGGUGGCCCGAAAGACACAUAA
This 750-nucleotide ribosomal RNA is filed under the name Triticum aestivum (bread wheat). RNAcentral's name for it is "partial small subunit ribosomal RNA". Lineage: Eukaryota; Viridiplantae; Streptophyta; Magnoliopsida; Poales; Poaceae. The record is from RNAcentral.